RNAcentral lists this ribosomal RNA (373 nucleotides) under uncultured organism. RNAcentral's name for it is "bacterial SSU rRNA". It matches the Rfam family "Bacterial small subunit ribosomal RNA", at positions 525 to 896 of the family's 1533-position model. The record is from RNAcentral.
CCGGAGGGUGCAAACGUUGCUCGGAAUUACUGGGCGUAAAGCGCGUGUAGGCGGUCACGCAAGUCAGGUGUGAAAGCCCAGGGCUCAACCCUGGAAGUGCACAUGAUACUACGUGGCUGGAGUACUGAAGAGGAGAGCGGAAUUCCCGGUGUAGAGGUGAAAUUCGUAGAUAUCGGGAGGAACACCAGUGGCGAAGGCGGCUCUCUGGGCAGAUACUGACGCUGAGACGCGAAAGCGUGGGUAGCAAACAGGAUUAGAUACCCUGGUAGUCCACGCUGUAAACGAUGAGAACUGGGUGUCGUGGGUAUUGACCCCCGCGGUGCCGAAGCCAACGCGUUAAGUUCUCCGCCUGGGAAGUACGGCCGCAAGGCUA